GGAGGGGGCAAGCGUUAUUCGGAAUUAUUGGGCGUAAAGGGCGUGUAGGCGGCUUGAUAAGUCAAAGGUGAAAUCCCUCGGCUCAACCGAGGAACUGCCUUUGAAACUGUCUGGCUAGAGGCCGGGAGAGGGUAGCGGAAUUCCCAGUGUAGCGGUGAAAUGCGUAGAUAUUGGGAGGAACACCAGUGGCGAAGGCGGCUACCUGGACCGGUUCUGACGCUGAGGCGCGAAAGCGUGGGGAGCAAACAGGAUUAGAUACCCUGGGUAGUCCACGCUGUAAACGAUGGGCACUCGGUGCUGCGGGUAUCGACCCCCCUGCGGUGCCUUAGCUAACGCGUUAAGUGCCCCCGCCUGGGGAGUACGGUCGCAAGGCUG
RNAcentral lists this ribosomal RNA (375 nucleotides) under uncultured organism. RNAcentral describes it as "partial 16S ribosomal RNA". It matches the Rfam family "Bacterial small subunit ribosomal RNA", at positions 527 to 896 of the family's 1533-position model. The record is from RNAcentral.